Non-coding RNA from Pelobates cultripes (western spadefoot toad), 92 nucleotides. The record is from the annotation of a GenBank genome assembly. NCBI's taxonomy places the organism in Eukaryota, Metazoa, Chordata, Amphibia, Anura, Pelobatidae.
AAGUGUAUUUUAAUAUGUUAUUGUAUAUGUGUGUGUGUGUGUAUAUAUAUAUAUACACACACACACACACAUAUACAAUAACAUAUUAAAAU